GUAUGCCUGGUAUGACUGCUUAU
This 23-nucleotide non-coding RNA is filed under the name Arabidopsis thaliana (thale cress). Lineage: Eukaryota; Viridiplantae; Streptophyta; Magnoliopsida; Brassicales; Brassicaceae. The record is from RNAcentral.